ACUCCUACGGGAGGCAGCGAGGUAGGGGAAUUAUUGCAACAAGUGGGCGACAACGCCUGAUGCACGCCAUGCCGCGUGUAUGAAGAAGGCCUUCGGGUUAGUAAAGUUACUUUCAGCAGUGAGGAAGGGUGGGUAUGUUAAUAGCAUACUCUAUUUGUACGUUAGCUGCAGAAGAAGCACCGGCUAACUCCGUGCCAGCAGCCGCGGUAAUACGGGAGGGUGCGAGCGUUAAUCGGAAUUACGUGGGCGUAAAGCGCAUGCAGGUGGUUUGUUAAGUCAGAUGUGAAAGCCCGGGGCUCAACCUCGGAAUUGCAUUUGAAACUGGCAAACUAGAGUACUGUAGAGGGGGGUAGAAUUUCAGGUGUAGCGGUGAAAUGCGUAGAGAUCUGAAGGAAUACCGGUGGCGAAGGCGGCCCCCUGGCAGAUACUGACACUCAGAUGCGAAAGCGUGGGGAGCAAACAGGAUUAGAUACCCUGGUAGGCACUGC
RNAcentral lists this ribosomal RNA (488 nucleotides) under uncultured bacterium. RNAcentral describes it as "bacterial SSU rRNA". It matches the Rfam family "Bacterial small subunit ribosomal RNA", at positions 335 to 800 of the family's 1533-position model. The record is from RNAcentral.